AAGCUAGCAGGAUGUCAGAUGUUUUUAGCUUCGGAGUUGUAGCAUUGGAAAUAGCAUGUGGUCGAAAACCUAUUGACGUCAAGCUAGAAGAGAAUGAGAGAGAAUUAGUAAAGUGGGUUUGGGAGCUUUAUGGAAGGGAACAAAUUCUUGAAGCAGCUGACCCAAAACUCUCCGGGGAUUACGAUGAGUAUCAAAUGCAACAGUUGAUGAUUGUCGGGCUCUGGUGUGCACAUCCAGAUUGGACAAUCAGGCCUUCCAUUAAUCAAGUGAUCCAAAUUCUUAAUUUCAAUGCUCCAUUGCCUGCUCUGCCAACCAAGAUGCCUGUGGCAACCUAUUCCAUGCCGUCAAACUUGUCUUCUUUGUCUUUAGAAUACGUCACUGCCCAGAGAAACCAAACUCAAUCUUCAGGCUAUAGUAACGAUACUGAUUCUUCACUUUCUGCAUCUGCAGCACGUCUAAAUAAUGCUAGAUAAGUGUGUCAGUUUAUAUGCAAAUCAAUAUAUAUUAUGUGUGAUAUGAUCCAAGUUUGGAUAUAGUAUUUGUAAUUUGAUCCGUGAGUGAUUGUAAUUCAUUCAGUGAUGGCUUGAUAUUUCCCAGUUUGCAAUUUCUCUCUAUUCGAUAUUUAGUAUCUACAAUAUUGCAUCUGAUUAGUUGAAACUGUCAUUCGUUAGUUUAGGAUACAACCAAGACAAUUUCAUUAGUUAGAACCGGGGAAUAGUCCUCUUCUUUAAGCUUUCACUAAGAACUGCUAGCUUACUCUACAACCUAGACAAUUUUGUCCACUGUAAUUUUUUCAGAAAGAACUCCAUCUUCCUAUUAAUUGUCCUCUCGUGAUCAGCAGUAUGUAUCAAUAUGGAUUCAAGCAUAAGUAUUCAUCAAAUCUAACAGCCCUUUGCACGCCUCCAUCGCCUCAGGAACUUCAUCCGUAUAUUAGGUCAAAAAAUCUUUACAAUUUUUUUCCUCUGCAAUCACCAAUAUUCUAUAUAACAUAUAAACAAAACAUGCAGAACCGAACACCAUGGGAUAGUCCUCUAUUCAAGCUAUAGUCAAGAACAUCUGAGCAAUUAGACAACCUAAAGAGCUACAAGAACUUGGCAUACUCGACAUACAAGAUAGAUUAGACUGUCUUAAACAAAAACUACAUCAUCCCAUUAAUUAUCUUCCUGGCAUUUCUGCUGAGUCAGUGAUAUGACUGAUGCCCAAUUAAUAAUUGAUGGCUAGAAAUUUAACAGCACCCUUCUGUUUGAAAGUGUAUUCAUCAAAUUUCAGCUUCCCUUGGUAUGCCUCCAUUACCUCGGGUAGUUCAUCCUUAUAUACACUUACAAAGUCUCUGACAAAUUUUCUCUCAUCUAUCGACAAAAUUGUUGAUAGAUUGUAACUCUUACUAGUGCUGCUUAUUGAGACUAAAACUUGCAGAACUGAACACCUUGGGAUAGUCCUCUUCUCUAAGCUAUAGCAUAGAACUUUUGGGUUACAUGACAACCUAGAUGGUGUCCACUGUAAUUUCUUCAGAAAGAACUCCACCUUUUUAUUAAUAUGAUUCUCCUUAUAACACAUAAUCAGUGGUGCUUUCUUGAACACUUCAAGGACCUCAUCAUUAGAGAAACCAAAGCUUCUAAGCAACAAACAUCUAGAUUCCCAUGUGGAGUCAUUGUGAAAAGACAAUGCAUGGAGAGCAUGGAUGAAAUGUGAAGAUGAAUAAUCAAAGUUCAUGCCCUCGACCAUCAAAAAGACUUGACAGAAUCUGUCAUGUGGAUAGCACAAAAUUCGGGAAUAAUGGCUUACAAACUUGAAAAUUUGAGAAAUGGGAAUUCCUUGUCUAAGGAGAAACCGAAUAUUAGGCAACAUUGCGGCGGUGUUGGUAAAAAUAAAAGGACCGCAUUUAAGGAGAGCAACUGCAUUUGGGCCGCAACCAAUAAUAUCCUUAAGCUGAUCAAAAGUGGGUAUUAAAUGUUUGUUGAGACUUCUAGCGAGUAUUCGCGGGUCUCUGGUGACAGUACGGACCACCAUUGCAUGAGACAUAUCCAUAGAAAGCAAAAAAUCGAGCUUUGGCUUUAAGAGCUUUUCGGGUUUUAAGGACUGAAGAAUACAGGGUACAACAGAAACGAUUCUGGUAAUAUUAGGCUGGGGGAAUCCAAAGUUUCGGAAUAGCUCGAGAACCGAAUCGGGUCUGUGAUCAGAAGAAUCAAAAUGAACACAUUUAGAAGCACGAAUUAGGUGUUUUCCAGAUAAGCCACAUUUGUUCUUGAGAAAGGAAAUCUUGAAUUCUGAAGAAUCUAUGGUUCUUUUGGGGCUAUAGCUACGAAAGAUGGGUCGAAUUAAACAGUGAUUCAAAUUGGGGAGAGUUUGAUGUUUGAUAAUUAGGGUUUGCAAAUGAGAUUUGAACAUACAAACAAGCAUCUUCAUAGUAAAUAUAAACUAAAGAGAUGCAAUAGAGAGUGGAUUAGGACACAAACAAAUGGGAACUUACAGAGGUUGGAUUCAGCUCUCCGAUAGCAUUAGUUCGUGAAUCGUGAUUGUAUUUGUGGGUGCUGUUUGAACGGGGCAUAUUUUUUUUUUUUAUUUUGGCUAAUUGAUUGAUUGCCCGCCAUUUGUUGGACUUAUUUGGGAAACGAAUUCAUAUUUAUAUAAUUUUAUAGUAUAUAUUUUUGUCAUUUAAAAUAUUAUAAAAUAAUAGAUAGAUUCCUGAAAUAUAGAUAAUCGAUUUUUAAUCCAACAAUGUUUCUCGUAUUGAUUCUUUAUAUUUUAAUACUAAUAGUAUUUAGUUAGUGUUAAAUUUAUAUGAAUAUAUUAAUAUUUCUGUUGGAAUGACUAUAUUGAAAUGAUGAUAUUCAUCAUCCCUAAAAAUAACAUUCAUUUUUACAUUUCGAUUAAUUAUUUCAGUUUUGAAUUUUUCCAGUAAUUUAUAAAUUUGUUUUUUUUAUUAAUGUCAUUGUGUUUCGCUCCACUCUUAUUAUCCCUUAUUUGAUCGUAUUUUUAUAUUAAAUUUUAAAAUAAGAUAAAUAUAACUAGGAGCGUAAAUGAAUCAAACUGUUCGUGAGCUAUUCGAGCACGACUCGUGUAAUUAGAAUUCGAUUCGGUAAUAAUCGAGUUGAACUCGAGUUAUAUGAAUGUUUUGCUGAGCCGAACUCGAGCUACGAAUUACUCGGCUUGUAAGGUUCGCGAGUCUUACCGAGACUCUAUUAUUUUUUUUAUUAUAAAUUAUUUUUAUAAAAAAAAUAUAAUAUUUAAUUUAUAUUUUAUAUAUUCAACCGAAUCGAACUCGAGUCGAGCUGAUCAUAUUUCGAGUUUCCGGCAAUAUUUGGUGACUUGAUUCGAACUUUCGAGCCAAACUCGAUCUAUCAAACUAUUUACGAGCCGAGUUUCGAGCUUGAAAUUAAAGACUCGAUCGAAUUCGAGUUCGAACUCCGAAUUUUUUAACACCUCGAGACAUGCCAAAUAGUAUUUGACUCGGCUCGGCUCGAUACACCUGAAUACAACUAACUCGGUUUGUAUUACUAUUGAAUUCGAAAAUGGCAAAUGCCGGAGAUGUGAAUCGGUCAUUUGAAGAAUGAUGGGAUGAAUUGGCAAAAAAAGUAAUUUUGAUUCCCAACAUGCAAGGAUUUCAAUUUCUAUCGCCUAAAAAGGAUUUUUGGAGCAAAAUUCCUAAAAAUUGCCACAAUGACAUAGAUGAGACACAGGUGAGGAGGGAUGUGUCUUGGAGAAGCUCCAAGAAUCUGGUCUCAAUUGAUUCUUACACUAUAUUCCAUCCGUCCCGCAGAUUUUUUAAGUUCACUAUUUAAACGCAUUUUGAUACUCAUAUAAAGUAUAAUUUAUAAUGUUUUUUAGUUUAUCUUUUUUGACUAAAAAUUCAAACGUCAAAUUUUUAUUCAUAAGAAAAAAUUAAAAAAGAUAUUAUGAAACUAUAUUUUAUUGAGUUAUCAAUAUACAUGCUAAAAAGUAAUGUAAAAAUCUGUUGGGACUGAGAAAGCAUGUUUCAUGAAAGAUUAACCGGGGGAAUUCUCCUACAAACCAUACUAUCAGUAGUAUCGUCUGGCUGUCCAUGGCGGAGACAUAAAAUCAGCUCAUGUGGGAAUGUGAAUUAGCUAGAUGAGCUAACUGGAGUAUAUCAGAAGAUUCAAAUUCUGGAAAGAAAAGAAGGGAAGUCCGAUGGCGCAAUCAAGUAGGGGAAUGAUUUGUGUUACAAAGGUAGAAGAAACCAGGUCUCUGGUGUACAUGUUCACCAACCCAGCUCAUGUUGGAAACAUUUUAGACAAGACAAAGUCGAAAAUCUAAUUAAUUAUCAAUAUCAAUUUCACACUAAACUUAUAUUUUGAUUUUUCAACUAUUCCAAACAGUAACGGAAAAGAGAAUAUCCUAUCUUAUCACACUUUCAAUAAAAAAAACAGUAUCUUUUCAUAGGAAGCCGUUAAGACUUAAGAUUGUGAAGGAAGGGCUCACCCACUCCCUCCCUGUCACUUUUUUAUAUUUUUUUUCUUACUCGACACGCAUUUUAAGACGCAUAUAGUUUCAUAAUUUUAAAUUUUUUUAUAAGAAUUUAAAUACUAAAUAUUUAUUCAGAGAAAAAAAUUUCAAAAUAACUUAUCAAAUUAUAUUUUAUGAGAGCAUUAAAAUACGUCCGAGUCUUGUCUCCAAUAUAAACAAUUGAUGGGAAGAGGGAGCAGGGUUCUGGAAAAACAGUAAUUAACGUGGACGUAACGGUGAUCAAUGGGCUUGUAGUCAGAUACUCUUCUUAUCCGAGCAGGUUUUUUAUGUUUAUUUUUGACACAUAUUUAGAGAAUAUUAUAAAAUACAAUUACGUAAUAUAUUUUUUUAAAUAUUUUUUUAAAUAAUAGUUUGAUGUUUAAAUUUUAUUUAAUAAAAUAAUAUUAAAAAAUAUUAUAUAACUAUACUUUAUAGAAGAUUUAACGAUGGUUCAUUCAUCUGACGGUAAACUAGAAAACUCCCAAUAAAGUUAAAAACACUUCGAGCACAAAUAAUUGUCUGCAACAGGUUGGCUUUACCCUCUAAGCUAAUGACGUCUAGCCGUCUAUGGUGAUUAAUAUACUAAUGACGUCUAUGAUGAUUAAUAAAACUCACCCACCCUUGAAAUUAUCGAAUAACUAAUAAACGACCAGUAGUCCUGAAGACAACGUUCCACAGACGUUUUGUGGUAACAUACAUUCCGAUCAUUACAUCAGAUCCAAGAUCAGCUACAUUACGCAUUUUAUAAAAUCAAUUCGAGCAUGGUUCGCAGACAUCUCCUAGCAGGAUGCUCUGUUGUCAUUACAUCUCUGAUACUGCUGAGUAUGAUCCACUUUGCUGCAACUUUAAAUUUUAGCUAUAUUAGCUUCACUCCUGAUGAUCCUGAGAUAGAACAUGAUGGAGAUGCCUUCACAUCCAGCAGAGACAUCCACAUUACUAAAAGCUUGAAUCGACAAUCAGCUCUUUCAAGCAUUGGACGAGUUACUUAUAAACAGCCAUUGCAUCUAUGGGACAAGGCCUCAGGAAACCUUACCGACUUCGCUACCCGUUUCACUUUUGUGAUUGAUUCGGAGAAGAGGGCCAAGUAUGGUGAUGGGAUCGCAUUCUUUCUGGUCCCGAAUGGGACUAAGAACCCGUUAGAGGGUGCAGGAGGUGUAGGAUUAGGACUUACGAAUGAUAGCCAGCCUGUGAACGCCUCUGCUAAUAAUAAAUUUGUUGCUGUUGAAUUUGAUAUUUAUAGCAACUAUUGUGACCCGGAGAAUAUGAGUGAGCACGCAGGUGUUGAUAUCAACUCUAUGAUAUCUGUGGCGGUUGUGCCUUGGGUUAAUGGGAGCGAUAGUAUUAAGAAUGGGUGGACUAAUGAAGCUCGGAUAAGUUAUGCUUCUAGUUCCAAGAAUCUUAGUGUUUCAUUCCGUACAGGCUUAGAUGGCGAUGGUAGUGUUUCACAACAAAGUUUCAACUUUGUGGUUGAUCUAAGAGAUCAUUUGCCAGAUUGGGUCAGUGUUGGCUUUUCAGCUGCAACAGGAAAGUCAUUGUCUUACAAUAGAAUCAGGUCAUGGGAAUUCAAUUCCAGUCUGGAGUCUGAUGAAGAUAAAGCAGGUCCAACUCAUCCUGUAACAAACGUUCCGAGUCAAAGUGAUCCGGCAGCAGAGGGUCCAGCAGAGGGUGUAAUAUUGUCUAAUAAAAAGAAUAAGAAGAUGGGUCUGGUGGUUGGAUUGGCGGUAGGGGGGUUUGUUCUAGUUUGUGCUGCGGGCAUAUACCUUAUCUUGAAGAAGAAAAAGAGAGAAGAGAUUGAAAAUACUAUUCAGGUUGAGGAUGAUUUCAUGGAUGGUGAAUUUGAGAAAGGAAUUGGACCCAAAAAGUUUUCAUAUAGUGCUCUUGCUAUGGCAACAAGUAACUUUGCACAAAAUGAAAAACUUGGAGAAGGAGGUUUUGGGGAAGUCUACAAAGGCUUCUUGAGAGAAAUGAAUUUAGAUGUGGCUGUCAAGAGAGUGUCAAGAAAUUCUAGUCAGGGAAUAAAGGAGUAUGCAUCCGAAGUGAGGAUCAUUAGUCGUCUCAGACAUAAAAAUUUGGUGCAGCUCAUUGGUUGGUGCCAUGAACAGAAUAAUCUUUUACUUGUUUAUGAGUAUAUGCAAAAUGGUAGCCUGGAUUCCCAUCUUUUCAAGGGGAAGAGCUUACUUUCUUGGAGUACAAGGUAUAAAAUUGCUCAAGGCCUGGCGUCAGUAUUGCUUUAUCUACAUGAAGAAUGGGAGCGAUAUGUGGUGCAUAGAGAUAUUAAAUCAAGCAAUGUAAUGUUAGAUUCGAGUUUUAAUACUAAGCUAGGUGAUUUCGGAUUGGCCAGAUUUGUUGAUCAUGACAAGGGCGCACAAACAACUAUUGUGGCUGGGACACGAGGCUAUAUGGCCCCCGAAUGUUUCGUCACAGGACAAGCUAGCAGGGAGUCAGACGUUUUCAGCUUCGGAGUUGUAGCAUUGGAAAUAGCAUGUGGUCGAAAACCUAUUGACCUCAUGGUGGUAGAAAAUGAGAGAGAAUUGGUAAAGUGGGUUUGGGACCUCUAUGGAAUGGAACAAAUUCUUGAAGCAGCUGACCCAAGACUCUCAGGGGCUUACGACGAGCAUCAAAUGCAACGGUUGAUGAUUGUCGGGCUUUGGUGUGCACAUCCAGAUAGUACCACUAGGCCUUCCAUCAGGCAAGCAAUUCAUGUUCUUAAUUUUGAUGCUCCAUUGCCUUCACUCCCACGCAGGAUGCCUGUGGCAACCUAUUCCACGCCUUUAAACUUUUCUUCGGUGUCUUCAGAAAGCAAGGCCACUACCCAGACAAGCCAAACUCAUUCUUCAGCCUAUAGUAACGGUACUGAUUCUUCAGUGUCUGCAUCUGCAGCACUUCUAAACAAUACUAUAUAAGUGUGAUAAUUAACAUGUAAAAUAAAAAAAAAAUAUUUCCAAUUUAUAUAUGAGUAAAUAAGAGUGAUUAUGUUUACAGCAUUCACUUCUGAUUUGAUUCAUUCUGUAAUUGCUUGACAUAUUCGAAUUUUCAAUCUUCUUCACUAAUUGUCUUUCAUAGUUAUCACAUCAGUUAACAUUUCUAAUUUGGGCACUUGGCUUCAAUUAGUAGUGGUCCUGCUCAGUGCUUCUAAAUUCAAAUGCUGAUUAAUUCUCUGAAAGUAGUUCAACUAGAGGUUUAUAGUAAACUCUGUGGAUUACUUUAAUCUGUACCAUACUAAUAUUCCUUCCGCCGGCAAGAUAUUGGGAUAAAUUUUAUUGCACAAGUCACUGUCUACAGUCUUUAAGCAUUACCUGUCUGCAAUGAUCAAGACAAGUCUAUAUCGUCAACUAUCUUUUUUCAAUAAAUUUCAAAGUAUGUCCGAUAUGAGCUGAAUGAUUCAACUAAGAUUUUGUUUGAAACAUAACCCCAAGACCAAUUUGAAAGAUAUGAAACUGACUUGCAACAGCAGAGCCUGAAGCACCAAGGAAGAACUGAAGUAUAGCUUGUUACUAACAUCCAUAAGGCCAACUGCUGAUGCUCAAGGGUGAGUGUGAGGGUGGUUUGUGCCAGCAGAAAGCCAGCAUUUGGAACACUGACCAGUGAUUAAAAUAUUUCCGACUCCAAAUUUUCUGGUAAUUAUCAAAUUGUUUCUUUUGUUCAAGUUCAAAAAUCUAAUUAAAUUUAAAUACAAAAAGAGAAUAUAAAUAUACAGUAAUAAUUCUAAAGUUUAGAUUUUUAACUUGAGGAAAGUGUCCAAAUAUUUUAGGAAGCUACUGAGUACAUAAUAUAAUAUAAAUUAAUAUAUAAAAAUAAAUUCUUCAAAUUACGGUCUCCUAACAUUUUGAUUACAAAAAAACCUCCACAUACUUAGAAGCAUCAUGCCCUUUUAACUUAUACUCCUUAGAAAGUAGUUUGAACACGACAAAGAGAAAAUUAAAAAAUAAAAGUAGUUUGAAAAUUCACUUAAUGCACAAUUCAAUAAGCUAUAUAAAGUUAAAAGUAAAUUACCAAGAAAAAUAAUUUCCUCCUUAAAAUUAUUAUUAUAAAAGUUAAGGUUUCUAGUACAUGGGCCUAUUUGACGUAUUGAAUGGUUAAUAAAGUUUGAAAGACUUGGAUAACUGGAAGAUAAAUUUGCAUCCAAAUUUCACAAGAUGAAUUCAAGCAUGGUUUGCAGCCAUCUCAUGCCAGGAAGCUCUGCUAUCUCCUCUAUUGUCAUUAGAUCUCUGAUAUUUCUAAGUACGAUUCAGAUGGCAGCAACCUUACAUUUUAAGUUUACCAACUUCAACCAUACCAAUGAUGAUCAAAUAAAAUACGAGAGAGAUGCCUUUCCGGCCAACAAUGUCAUCCACCUCACUAAUGCGGUGAUUGGUCAAUCAGCUGAGUCAAGUAUCGGCCGAGUUACUUAUAGACAGCCUUUGCAUCUAUGGGACAAGGCCUCAAGAAACCUUACUGGCUUCACUACCCGUUUCACUUUUGUGAUUGAUUCCAGAAAUGAUACAGCGUAUGGCGAUGGGAUGGCGUUCUUUCUAGUUCCAAAUGGUACCGAGGUCCCGGCACUUGCAACAUCUGGGGGAACAUUUGGACUCACAAAUGAUAGUCAGCCUACCAACACCACCGCCAAUAAAUUUGUCGCUGUUGAAUUUGACGUGUUUGAGAACUCUUGGGACCCUGACAUUGACGAGCCGGAGGACCCUCUUUUUGGCCGUUCUCCUGAUGUGAAAAUUGAGCAUGUAGGUGUUGAUAUCAACUCUGUGAGAUCCAACAAAACUGUGCUUUGGGAUUAUGGGAGGUCUAGUGUUGAGAAUGGAUGGACCAAUGAAGCUCAGAUAAGUUAUGCUUCUAGUUCAAAAAAUCUUAGUGUUUCAUUCCGUACAAAUAUAACUGGCAAUUUCUACUUUGUGGUUGAUCUACGAGACCAUUUGCCAGAUUGGGUCAGUGUUGGCUUUUCAGCUUCAACAGGAGCCGCAAUUUCUUACAAUACAAUCAAUUCAUGGGAAUUCAGUUCUACUCUGGAGUCCCAUGCAGAAGCUCCGAGUCCAAGUCAUCGUGGUCCAGUACCACAGGUUCCAAAACAUAUUAAAACAAAUAAUAAAAGGAUGGGUCUAGUGAUUGGAUUGGCGGUAGGGGGGUUUGUUCUUGUUUGUGCUGCGGGUAUAUACAUUAUAUUGAAGAAGAAGAAGAAAGAAAGAGCAGAAAAUGAAAAUACCAAUUGUUUUGAGGAUGAUUUCAUGGAUGAUGACUUUGAGAAAGGAACUGGACCUAAAAAGUUCUCGUAUAAUGCUCUUGCUAUGGCAACAAGCAACUUUGCACCACAUGGAAAACUUGGAGAAGGAGGAUUUGGGGAAGUUUACAAAGGCUACUUGAGUGAACUGAAUUUGGAUGUGGCUGUCAAGAGAGUAUCAAGAAAUUCUAGACAAGGAAUAAAGGAGUAUGCAUCCGAAGUGAGGAUCAUUAGUCGUCUCAGACAUAAAAAUUUGGUGCAGCUCAUUGGUUGGUGCCAUGAACGGAAUAAUCUUUUACUUGUCUAUGAGUAUAUGCAAAAUGGUAGCCUGGAUUCCCAUCUUUUCAAGGGGAAGAGCUUGCUGUCUUGGAGUACAAGGUAUAAAAUGCGUCAGUAUUGCUUUAUCUACACGAAGAAUGGGAGCAAUGUGUGGUGCAUAGAGACAUUAAAUCAAGCAAUGUCAUGUUAGAUUCAAGUUUCAACACUAAGCUAGGUGAUUUCGGACUGGCCAGAUUUGUUGAUCAUGAAAGGGGUGCACAAACAACUAUGGUGGCCGGGACACGAGGCUACAUGGCCCCCGAAUGUUUUUUCACAGGCCAAGCUAGCAGGAUGUCGGAUGUUUUCAGCUUCGGAGUUGUAGCAUUAGAAAUAGCAUGUGGUCGAAAACCUAUUGACCUCAAGCUAGAAGAAAGUCGGGUAGAAUUAGUAAAGUGGGUUUGGGAGCUUCAUGGAAGGGAACAAAUUCUUGAAGCAGCAGACCCAAAACUCUCCGGGGAUUACGACGAGAGUCAAAGGAAACGGUUGAUGAUGGUCGGGCUCUGGUGUGCCCAUCCAGAUUGGCCAAUUAGGCCUUCCAUUAAGGAGGCGAUUCAAGUUCUUAAUUUUGAUGCUCCAUUGCCUGUUCUCCCGCCCCAGAUGCCAGUGGCAACCUAUUCCAUACCAUCAAAUUUGUCUUUAGAAGACAAGGCCACAACCCAGAGAAGCCAAACUCAUUCUUCAGGCUCUAGUAACGGAACUGAUUCAUCAGUGUCCGCAACUGCAGCACGUCUAAAUAAUACUAGAUAACCAUGUUGUUUAAUAUGCAGCUGAAUACAUUUUUUUGAAGAUAAGCGUGUCGGUUGAUAUGCAACUCAAUAUUUAUUAUGUGUGAUUUUAUAAUUUGAUUCAGUUUGAUUGUAAUUCUGAGGAUUAACAUGUCGGUUGAUAUGCAACUCAAUACUUACUAUGUGUGAUUUUGUAAUUUGAUUUUAGUUUCAUUGUAACUCAUUCAGUGAUUUGCAAAGUCAUGGUCUACGGUCAUUAGCAUUACCUCUCGGCAAUGAUCAAUAGAAGUCUACGUCGACUAUCCUUUUUUAUAAAUUUCAAAUAAUGUUCGAUAUGAGCUAUCAAACGUUAGUUUUAGUCAUAAAAGAGUGUAUCAUGAAUUACAAGUAAACAAUCAUUUACUUUUAGAUCUAGAACCAUAAAGUAGGAGCGUUUGGCAAAUAAAAUUAAGUCCUUAUUAAAGAUUUGUUUCUUUUAAAAUGCUUAUUUUAUAAAUUUUUUAAAUAUAAAUAUUAGGUAGGUGUUGCAUAUUCAUUAUGCGACAAAAAAAAAGGACUAAUUUCAGGAAAAAAAUUAAGCUAUUAUUUCAGAAAAAUGAGUGUAGUCAAAGGAGAACACGGUAACCCACUCUUUUUCUUUUCCAUUUUCUGUUUUGUUUUACCCACGGCUGUAAAUUGAUUAUGGUGAAACUGGAUUAAAAAUACAAUCCGAGUUCGAAUCGAAUAUGAACAAUCGAUCAUAUUUUGGGUAUUUGGGUAGGAUAAUAUUAGAAAAAAUUAUAUGUGAUCUAAUUUGAUCAGCAGUAUAAGAUUGCUCAUAUCCGGCAUCAUAUAUUAUCCAGGCUUAAUUUUUCCAACAGAUUUCGAUCGUUUUCAAAACGGAUAUGAGACAUGUAUCAUAUUUUCGAGCCGGAUAGCCGAGAUACCGAAUAGUCUGUAUCGACUAACAUCGCUAGUUUUAUCCUGUUAACGUUCUUUUUUUACUGAACACAAUUUUACAAAAUAUAAUAAUUUUAAAUUAAAACUUACAAUUAUAUGUAGGUAUAUAUAAUUAAGUAAAUAUAUAUAUGAAGAUAAUAAGUAUUAUCACAGUAAAUAAAUCAUAUUUUGUGAGAUUUACACUUAAAUAAGAUAUUAAAAUUUUAUAAAAUGAUGAAUAUUACUUACAUAUGUAAUAAAUUAAAAAUAUAAUUUGCAUAUUAGUUCCAAUCGAAUAUGAACCAUCGAUCAUAUUCGGAUAUUUGGGUAGGAUCAUAUUAGAAAAAAUUUUAUGUGCCCAGGAUUGCUCAUAUUCGGGAUCAUAUAUCAUUUAAUUAUAUUAUUAUAGACUUGUUAAAUAAGAUAUAUAAAUUUAUGUAAAUAAUUUUUGCAGCCUAAACAUAUGUAUAACUUAUAAUUAAAAAAUAUUAAAUUUGUUACAUUAUUAUCAAAUUUUGUUACUGGCAAGAAACCUCCAGGAAGUGUGGUGUGUAGGUACUUCUUUGUGUUUCAUUACUUUAUCAAAUGGGCAAGUCAGAAUAAUCAGAAAAAGUUUAAUCCGCAGGACCACUGCUUCCACUAUAAAUUUAUAAUCAUUAUAGUUGUUUUCUCAAUUCUCAUUGAAGAAUGAUGUUGCCGAUCUAGACUUGUCAGCUCUGCUUAUUCUUCCAAUUUUAUGAACAUAAUCAUCGAGGUCUUUUGGCAAAUUAAAGUUGAUGACACAGGUGACAUAGGCAACAUCCAGACCUUUUAGCUUCGGAGUUGUAGCAUUGGAAAUAUAUUAACUCCGAAUACAGGGGGUGUUUGGCCAGGUUUAAAAGCCCGACUUCUCGGUUUAUAAGUUAGAAACACGUAUUUUUACUGUUUGUGUAAAAAGUAAAGAAGUAUUUAUAAAAAGGAGAGAAUACUAGUCUUUGUUCAUAGUUUUUGCGUCUUUCCCAAAUACUUUAAGCUUCUAAUUUUUAAUUCACUUCUUUAUUCUAAGCAAGAAGCGCUUAUUUUAAGCUCAAUCAAACAGCGUCAUAGUAUUUGUAAUUUGAUCCGUGUGUGAUUGUAAUUUAUUCAGUGAUGGCUUAACAUUUCCCGGUUUGCAAUUUUUCUCUAUUCAAAAUUCAAUAUCUACAAUUUUGUAUCUGAUCAGUUGAAGCUGUCAAUCGUUAGUUUAGGAUACAUAUUCAUCCUUACUAUGCCUCCUCAAGAACGACGUUGUUUUAACAAUGACCAUCCUGGAAAACAGAGAUUGAAAAGCAGCUCUUGGAAGUAGUUUUGUGAGGGAAUCAGUAACUUAUUCAGAAGUCUGUUUUUGCUAGAAUUUUCAUAAAUUAUGCAGAACUGUGUUGUACCGCUUUUUGUUUCUUUUUUCUAGGAAUUGCAAUUGGAAUUUGGAGUGCUUAGGUUCUGGUCGUUUAGAUCACUACUGACAUGUCACUGGAAAUUACUCAGGGGACAUUUAGAGAAUCAGGUAGACGAGAAUGUGAAAGAUAUGAUAUUCUAAGAUGUGAAAUGAAUGAAUUAUCCACCUCUAAUGUUAUAUAACACAAAUACUAAUCCAAACAAAUGCUCAGGGAUGUGAAAUGAAUGAAUUAUCCUUUGAUUUUGACGUUUCCAUGGUGGUGGUGUGUCAGGGUUAAUACCUUGGCAUACACCGGCUCUGAUACCAGGUGUGGAAACUAUUGAUUGUGUAUCAACUGCGUAAGUUUAGGAGAAAAAGAAAAAACUGAAGAGACAAACCCUGGCUUUUUACUUAUUACUUAAUACUUCAACUUACAUGCGACGUACAUAUAUAAAGACCGAAAAAUACUGCUAGAGCUCCUAAACACCAGCGCGCUUACACCAGCUUUUAAUACUCACACUACUCCAUGUUCCCUGCCGAUGAUUUUACACUGCCUGCUGUCUAGAAAAACAACUUGUACUGACCCAUGCUUUGCUACUAUUCGAGAAACAUUUCUUUAAAAACAAAAACAUAAGUUUGGAAUAAUUAAUUCGACAUAAAUGGCAAUGCUAGUGCUUCACAGCAAAGAUUCAGCUUUAUGGUUAUUCUAUGAGACCAUUUGCCAGAUUGGGUCAGUGUUGGCUUUGCAGCUGCAACAGGAGCGUCAAUUUCUUACAAUACAAUCUAUUCAUGGUAUUCAUAUUCAAAUAUAAUGAUUCCAAAUCCAAAAUCUAGACACACUGAUUAUAAAAUAAUUCGAUUUUUUGACCAUAAAGGUACAUCUAAAUGAUAUCGUUUGAUGCCCAAACAAAAUAUCAAACACAAGCUCGGAUUCUGAACGCCUGAAGAACUCGGUCAAUUCCAACUCCAAAUUUUCUAAUUUCUCAAAACGUUUCUUUUAUUCAAACUUAAAUAUCUAAUUAAAUUUUAAUACAAAAAGAUAAAAUAAAUAUACAAUACUAACUCUAAAGUUUAGAUUUUUAACUGGAGAAAAGUGUUCAAAUAUUCUAGGAAGUUACAUGAGUACAUAAAAUAAUAUAAAUUAAUUUAUAAUUAUCUGAAUAAAUUCUUCAAAUUAGACCGUCUCCUAACAUUUUCACUACAAAACCCCCCUACUUGAACCAUGAUGCUCUUUUAACUUAUACUCCCUAGAAAGUAGUUUGAACACGACAAAGAGAAAAUUAAAAAAUUAAAGUAGUUUGAAAAUUCAUUUAAUGGACAAUUCAAUAAGCUAUAUAAAGUUAAAGUAAAUAAUUAUCAGGAAAAAUAAUUUCCUCCACAAAGUUAAAAUUAUUAUUAUAAAAGUAAAGUUUUCCAUUACAUGGGCCUAUUGACGUAUGGAAUGGAAUGGUUAAUAAGUUUGAAAGACUUCGAUAGCUGGAAGAUGAAUUUGCAUCAAUUUCAAAAAAUGAAUUCAAGCAUGGUUUCCAGCCAUCUCCGGGCAGGAAGCACAACUAUCUCCUCUAUUCUCAUUAGAUCUCUGAUAUUUCUAAGUACCAUUCAAUUCGCAGCAACUCUACAUUUUAACUUUACCAACUUCAACCGUACCAAUGAUGAUCAAAUAAAAUACGAGAGAGAUGCCUUUACGGCCAACGAUGUCAUCCACCUCACAAAUGCCGUGGUUGGUCAAUCAGCUCAGUCAAGUAUCGGACGAGUUACUUAUAGACAGCCUUUGCAUCUAUGGGAUAAGGCCUCAAGAAACCUUACUGACUUCACUACCCGUUUCACUUUUGUGAUUGAUUCCAGAAAUGAUACAUCGUAUGGCGAUGGGAUGGCGUUCUUUCUAGUUCCAAAUGGUACCGGGGUCCCGGCACUUGCAACAUCUGGUGGAACAUUUGGACUUACAAAUGAUAGUCAGCCUACCAACACCACUGCCAAUAAAUUUGUUGCUGUUGAAUUUGACGUGUAUGGGAACGACUGGGACCCUGGCGAGUCGCUGGACCCUGAUCUCACCAUUCCUCCCGGUGAGAAACCUGAGCAUGUAGGUGUUGAUAUCAACUCUGUGGAAUCCGAGGAAACUGAGCUUUGGAAAUAUGGGAGUUCUAGUGUUAUAAAUGGGUGGACAAACGAAGCUCAGAUAAGUUAUGCUUCUAGUUCAAAAAAUCUUAGUGUUUCAUUCCGUACACUAAAUUACAAAGAUUCGCCUCAAAGUUUCUACUUUGUGGUUGACCUAAGGGACCAUUUGCCAGAUUGGGUCAGUGUUGGCUUUUCAGCUUCAACAGGAGCCGCAAUUUCUUACAAUACAAUCAAUUCAUGGGAAUUCAGUUCUACUCUGGAGUCCCAUGCAGAGGCUCCGAGUCCAAGUCAUCCGUUACCACCGGUUCCGCCUCCAAGUCAAACCGGUCCAGUACCACAGGUUCCAAAACAUAUUAAAACAAAUAAUAAGAGGAUGGGUCUUGUGAUUGGAUUGGCGGUGGGGGUGUUUCUUCUUGUUUGUUCUGGGGCCAUAUACCGUAUUUUGAAGAAGAAGAAAGAGAAACAGGAAUAUGAAAAUAAUAUUUGUUUUGAGGAUGAUUUCAUGGAUGAUGAAUUUGAGAAAGGAACAGGACCUAAAAAGUUCUCUUAUAGUGCUCUUGCUAUGGCAACAAGUAGCUUUGCACCACAUGGAAAACUUGGAGAAGGUGGAUUUGGGGAAGUUUACAAAGGCUUCUUGAGUGAACUGAAUUUGGAUGUGGCUGUCAAAAGAGUAUCAAGAAAUUCUAGACAAGGAAUAAAGGAGUAUGCAUCCGAAGUGAGGAUCAUUAGUCGUCUCAGACAUAAAAAUUUGGUGCAGCUCAUUGGUUGGUGCCAUGAACGGAAUAAUCUUUUACUUGUGUAUGAGUAUAUGCAAAAUGGUAGCCUGGAUUCCCAUCUUUUCAAGGGGAAGAGCUUGCUGUCUUGGAGUACAAGGUAUAAAAUUGCUCAAGGCCUGGCGUCAGUAUUGCUUUAUCUACAUGAAGAAUGGGAGCAAUGUGUGGUGCAUAGAGACAUUAAAUCAAGCAAUGUCAUGUUAGAUUCGAGUUUUAACACUAAGCUAGGUGAUUUCGGACUGGCCAGAUUUGUUGAUCAUGAAAGGGGUGCACAAACAACUAUGGUGGCCGGGACACGAGGCUACAUGGCCCCUGAAUGUUUUUUCACAGGCCAAGCUAGCAGGAUGUCGGAUGUUUUCAGCUUCGGAGUUGUAGCACUGGAAAUAGCCUGUGGUCGAAAACCUAUUGACAUCAAGCUAGAAGAAAGUCGGAUAGAAUUAGUAAAGUGGGUUUGGGAGCUUCAUGGAAGGGAACAAAUUCUUGAAGCAGCAGACCCAAAACUCUCGGGGGAUUAUGACGAGAGUCAAAUGAAACGGUUGAUGAUGGUCGGGCUCUGGUGUGCACAUCCAGAUUGGCCAAUUAGGCCUUCCAUUAAGGAGGCCAUUCAAAUUCUUAAUUUUGAUGCUCCAUUGCCUGUUCUGCCGCCCCAGAUGCCUGUGGCAACCUAUUCCAUACCAUCAAACUUGUGUUCAGAAAACAGGGCCACAACCCAGAGAAGCCAAACUCAUUCUUCAGGCUCUAGUAACGGAACUGAUUCAUCAGUGUCUGCAACUGCAGCACGUCUAAA
This 16699-nucleotide long non-coding RNA is filed under the name Daucus carota (carrot). RNAcentral describes it as "long non-coding RNA (DCAR_LNC000724)". Lineage: Eukaryota; Viridiplantae; Streptophyta; Magnoliopsida; Apiales; Apiaceae. The record is from RNAcentral.